RNAcentral lists this long non-coding RNA (513 nucleotides) under Homo sapiens (human). Its description in RNAcentral is "novel transcript, antisense to STX8". Lineage: Eukaryota; Metazoa; Chordata; Mammalia; Primates; Hominidae. The record is from RNAcentral.
UGACGGAGUCUCACUCUAUCGUGGAGGCUGGAGUGCAGUGGAGCAAUCUCAGCUCACUACAACCUCUGCCUCCUGGAUUCAAGAAAUUCUCCUGCCUCAGCCUCCCGAGUAGCUGGGAUUACAGGUGCCUGUCACCACGCCCGGCUAAUUUUUGUAUUUUUAGUAGAGAUGGGGUUACACCAUGUUGGCCAGGCUGGUCUCGAACUCCUGAUCUCAGGUGAUCCACCCGCCUCAGCUUCCCAAAGUGCUGGGAUUAUAGGUGUGAGCCACCGUGCCCGGCCUUUUACAUGCUUUUAACUCAUUUGAUCCUCACAACAAACUCUGUGAGGUGGGUUCUUAUUUUUCCUACUUUAUAAAUGUGAUAACUGAGGCGUACAGAAGUUAAGUAAUUUGCCAAAUCCUAGAGGCUUCCAGAGCUCUCUGUCUUAAUCACUAAGGCUAUGCUGUAGGGUCUGGAGGGUGAAAGCAGUACCCAGCUUCAGGACUGCAACAGUGUUGCAGAGGAUCCAGUCU